UACGGAGGGUGCAAGCGUUAUCCGGAUUUACUGGGUUUAAAGGGUGCGUAGGUGGGUUGGUAAGUCAGUGGUGAAAUACUUUCGCUUAACGAAGGAACUGCCAUUGAUACUACCAGUCUUGAAUACAGUGGAGGUAGGCGGAAUGCGUCAUGUAGCGGUGAAAUGCUUAGAUAUGACGCAGAACACCAAUUGCGAAGGCAGCUUGCUACACUGUUAUUGACACUGAGGCACGGAAAGCGUGGGGAUCAAACAGG
Molecule: ribosomal RNA, 254 nt
Filed under: uncultured bacterium
Lineage: Bacteria
Description: partial 16S ribosomal RNA
Rfam family: Bacterial small subunit ribosomal RNA
Source: RNAcentral